Molecule: ribosomal RNA, 322 nt
Filed under: uncultured eukaryote
Lineage: Eukaryota
Description: partial 18S ribosomal RNA
Rfam family: Eukaryotic small subunit ribosomal RNA
Source: RNAcentral
CCCUUAGAUGUCCUGGGCCGCACGCGCGCUACACUGACAUGUUCAACAAGUUUCUCCUAGUUCGACAGGACUGGGAAAUCUUUGAACGCAUGUCGUGAUAGGGAUAGAUCAUUGCAAUUAUUGAUCUUGAACGAGGAAUUCCUAGAAAACGCGAGUCAUCAGCUCGCAUUGAUUACGUCCCUGCCCUUUGUACACACCGCCCGUCGCACCUACCGAUUGAAUGUUUCGGUGAAGAUUCCGGAUAGGACUGAUUUGAUUUAUUUCAUUUCUGACCUAAAAGCUAUCUAAACCUCAACAUUUAGAGGAAGGUGAAGUCGUAACA